UGCUCCGGCGCGGUGGUCGGCCGGAGCGCCGCCGCGCCGGAGUUUUUUUUUUUGCUUUUUUUGAAAUUUUUUUACAUCAAAAUACUCCUCUUCCCUUCCUCUACACAAAUCCAAGCUCAAAAUUUCGAAAACAUACACCAAAAAUCCUAGAUCUACAAAUGAAAAACGUGAAAUUUUACCUCUUUUUCCGGUUUCCUUUCCUCCUAGUUUGAGUCCGGUUCUCUCCUUUUCUUCCUUCUUCCGGUUCGCGUGUUCUUCCUUGUUUCCGGUUCGGCUGGCUCUCCUCUACUCCGGUUCGUUUGGCUCUGUUUUGGUUCGGAUUUGUUGGUUUUUUAUUCGGUUCGGUUUUAUUCGUUGUGUUAUGUGUGAGUUCGAGUUGGUUUUGUGAAUUUGUGCUGUUUAUGUUAACAAAUGUUCAUGAAUGUUGUUGAGGAGAGAGAGAAGGAAAUUGUGUUUGUGACUUGAUUGGAAAAAAUGUGUGGUUGCUGAUUUUUCUGUGAACAGUGAUUU
RNAcentral lists this long non-coding RNA (510 nucleotides) under Medicago truncatula (barrel medic). Its description in RNAcentral is "lncRNA gene15887". The record is from RNAcentral. Lineage: Eukaryota; Viridiplantae; Streptophyta; Magnoliopsida; Fabales; Fabaceae.